GAUCUUUCCUCAUCCAAUGGUCUAGGAACUCCCUAUCUUCUCAUAUAAUAAUGUCCUAAAAUUUCAGAAACUCUUCAGUUCACCCAAAAAAUCCUUAUACUUCAUCUCUUCCACCAAUGAAUCCUAGAGAAGCCGCCCUUUUUUCCACCAUCAUUCACCGGCGGCGCCGCCUCCUCUUACCCCCAAAUCAACACCAUGCAAUCUCCAAGACCCCCCUCCCCAUUCUGAAUCUCCACCUAGUUUCUUUCAAAUACCCCCAAAAUUUCUCGAAUCUUAAAACAAUGGUUCGAACUCUAGAGUUCAAAGUCAACUUCGGUUAUGCAACAUCAUCCCUUCAUGUUUCUUUGAGUAUUCAGAGUCUGGUUCAUUCUCAGAAUGGUUUUGUUCAUGUGUUUUUGCCAAAGAAUAAGCGAUUUACCCUAUUUUGGGAUUAAAUCAGAAUUGUCCGGUAAUUUUAAGGCUUAAUUGGUAAGUUUCUUCCCUUACUUUGCUUUUGUUCAUCCUUUCUGCCUCAAAUUUCUUAUCCUUUUUUUCUCUUGCAUGUCCUGAGUGAAAUUAGUGUCGAGUCUAAUUUCCCCUAUUAAGGAAAAUUUUGCUCUGUGUGUUUGUGUAUUUAUUCUCAUCUCAUCUCUACAGUUUUUCUUUUCAAAAUCUUAGGCAGUGUCCUCUGUUUUCUUCUUGAUUUUAUUGUUUAGGUUUGAUUGUUAAUAAAUUGGUGAUGUAGAAUUACUUUCAAUUUGUUAUUUUAGCUUAAGAAAAUCAUCACCUGUUAAGUUUAGUUUUUGAGUUUUGAAAUCACGCAAACAUUUCCUUUUUCUGCUUAUCAUUAAUUGGGUUGGGUUUCUGACCCUUUUGGUUUGGGCGCUAGGUUUAUUUGAUUCGUUCAUUUGGACCUAAACAUAUGGGUCAUUGACUCAUGACCCAUACCUAUAGGUUUUGGCAGUGAAAACAGGGUCAUUGAGGGGUAAUUUGGGUAGUUUAGCCCAGGGAAUCUUUGUAUAAUUGAAAUAGAAGCUUCUAGGAAGCUGGGGUGGGGGCAUUUCUGAAUUUUUGAGUUUUGCACUAAGGCUCCCUAAGCAAAAACAAAAAUUCAAAAAGGACUAAAAUAAAAAUCUGACCCCCUCUAUUGUUUCCCUAUUUCCUUGCCUAUAAAGGCACAUUUCCUUGCCUUUCAAGUCAGAGAUUGAAGAGCUGAAAAUACAGAAAAUACAAAGAGCUGAUUUUUACUAUUUCAUUGAACUUUUUUUAGUGGUUUUUGAAUCUUUCAAUUUCCAAAAACUUUAAUUCAUCUAUGGGUGGAACUGGAUUAGAAUUGGGGUUUUGGAAAAUUCUAGUUCAAAUUUGUGGUUGGGUGUACUUUUCUAUUGAAUUCCUGAAGUUGAUUUCCUUAUUUUGACUGUUCAAAUAUGGGUUUAGCUGACUCUGUGGUGCUGCUUCCUGUUAGAUAUCUCAGCUGCAAAUUAUUGCUCCUUACCUAUUUUUCUUUAUCCAUUUUCAGGUACAUUUUUUAACUUUACCCAAUUUGAAAUCCAAUUUGAAGAGGGAAAUGAAAAAUGAAGUGGAGGAAUGACAGUAGUUCUAACUGCAAUAGUUCUAUGUAAUGUCUGUCUUCGUUACUUGACUUUUGGUGUAUGCUAGGUAGUUCUUUUAUUCUAGAUAUUCAAAUUCGUUGAGUUGUAUCAGAUUUGGGACUGUUAUAAUACUUGGAAAUAACUUGUUAACCCAGUUAAAUAAGGACAGAUGCAUUCUUGGAGAAUCUUGUGAUAAAAAUGGUAUUGAGGUUUGCUUGCGGAAUAGCUCACUUAAGUUUUGGUAACAUGUUAAUUGGGUUAGUUUGAUCAUGUAUUUAUAUAUUAUGUUUGGCAGAAUGUAUUCAUUGGAUUUCUAGGGUGUUAGAAUUAUGUUUAAGGGGGGAAAAUUGGUCCAGAGUAUUCUAAUAAUAUAAACAGGUGUUAGUUCAUUUUGUUGCUUAUUGUGAGCAUGCUUAAUUUAUAUUAGUUAUUUCAAUUCAAAAUGUUGAGUUAAUGGGCUAAAGCUUAGAAGCAUUAGUCUAUUUUGGUGUUAAUU
RNAcentral lists this long non-coding RNA (2067 nucleotides) under Nicotiana benthamiana. Its description in RNAcentral is "long non-coding RNA (NBEN_LNC034130)". Lineage: Eukaryota; Viridiplantae; Streptophyta; Magnoliopsida; Solanales; Solanaceae. The record is from RNAcentral.